This 400-nucleotide ribosomal RNA is filed under the name uncultured bacterium. Its description in RNAcentral is "bacterial SSU rRNA". It matches the Rfam family "Bacterial small subunit ribosomal RNA", at positions 355 to 747 of the family's 1533-position model. The record is from RNAcentral.
UAGGGAAUCUUCCACAAUGGGCGAAAGCCUGAUGGAGCAACGCCGCGUGAGUGAAGAAGGUUUUCGGAUCGUAAAACUCUGUUGUAAGGGAAGAACAAGUACAGUAGUAACUGGCUGUACCUUGACGGUACCUUAUUAGAAAGCCACGGCUAACUACGUGCCAGCAGCCGCGGUAAUACGUAGGUGGCAAGCGUUGUCCGGAAUUAUUGGGCGUAAAGCGCGCGCAGGUGGUUUCUUAAGUCUGAUGUGAAAGCCCACGGCUCAACCGUGGAGGGUCAUUGGAAACUGGGAGACUUGAGUGCAGAAGAGGAAAGUGGAAUUCCAAGUGUAGCGGUGAAAUGCGUAGAGAUUUGGAGGAACACCAGUGGCGAAGGCGACUUUCUGGUCUGUAACUGACACU